RNAcentral lists this long non-coding RNA (2839 nucleotides) under Mus musculus (house mouse). RNAcentral's name for it is "long non-coding RNA chrX:166170480-166173319". The record is from RNAcentral. Lineage: Eukaryota; Metazoa; Chordata; Mammalia; Rodentia; Muridae.
UCCUCCCCACCACCAGAGCUAGGUCCGUUGUUGCCCACCGCCCGAGAUCUGCCAGCUGCGUGCCCACGAGGUGACUUCGGGGGCUGAUGGGUUGCUUUUGGGGAGUAAGGGAAUAGCGUGGCGGACUCCUGAAGCUUGGAGUACUGGCUUGGCGCUCAUGCUGUGGCUUUAAUUACCAUCACCCGGCAGCACGAGGAGGUUGCCUAGACCCGUGAGAGUCCCAACCCCUGACAGACUGUUAAAACUAGUUCUAAUUUAUGCUCUCAAGCCCUAUGUGCUUCCUAAUCCUUGGGUGCCUGCUGAGAAUUCUGUUCCCAGGCCCCCACCUCAGACUAUUCCAGUUCAGAUCUUGAGAAGUGAGGCUCAAGCAUGGGAAGGUUUGGGGUUUUUGUUUGUUUUGUUUUGUUUUAACUCACAGUGUAAUUCAAACGUGCUGUGGAUCACAAUGUUGCAGGAAGUCUGUCAGGACACGUUUCUGCAGAGAUGUCUAAGCUACUGGCUCAUUUACAAAAACAAAACAACAAAAACCUGAGUUUCUCCCCCGCCCCCCUUGCAACUUUUGAGUUCUGUAGGUCAGAAUUCUUAGUUGAUGUUAUCUUAAGAACAUUUGACAGUUGCUGUGGGUAGCCAGAGUUCUGAACCAUUUUCCCUUUUUUUUUCUGAAAUGAUUGUUACAAACUCGUUGCACAAAUUAGGCUCUGGACUCCACUGUUGUUGGGGUUUUUAUUUGCUUGGGGGGGGUUGUUUGUUGGUUUUUGUUUUGUUGUUGUUUUUUAACUAAAAGCCAGAACAUUACUCAAAAUCUUAAGACUAAAAGUUACAGACACAAAGCCUCUAUGAAUUGUGAGAUUGUGAUACUGUUUGAAAGUACAAUUUAUGCUAGCAUGAUUCGUCAAGAUAACAGUGUCUUUGGGAUGGCAGUGGAAAGAGAAACCAUGUGUAUAUGCUUUGGGUAAAUCUAACACGUGCAAGUUCACAGUAAAGUGUAUGAUCCCUUCUGUUGACUGCUGGGCUGGGGGGAAAAAUCAACCCAAGUUGCAGAGAGGCAGGCGUUUCCAUCGUGAAACUGUUUUACAGAUGGCAGAGGCUUAUUGGUGUUUCUUCAAGUCCAGCGUUUAAGGAGAAGUUAAGAUAAGAAGGAUGGCAGGAAAUUAAACAUAGCUAGAGGUUAGAUAAGAGUUCUCAAGCACACUAUAGAACUCUCAGAAUUACUUCUUUAUGUUGGGAAAUCCACUCAUAAAGCACUUGGACAAUCAGAUGCAGACUGUAACAUUUAAGGCCAGAUGAACUGGAAAUAUAUUAAUAUAUUUAGACAUUUGGAACUUCUUACUGAUUGUUGUUUUUAGUUACUGCCCCUUAAUAAUUUGGGGGAGCACGGGUAGGAGAGAAUAUUAUCAGGAUAUAACAGACAAUCUCAACAAUUCCAGUAGCCCCCAAAGGCAGGAGAUUAUACCUGUUAUUUUCUCUGGUGGAAGAAAAAUGGGACCUCUAAAAGGAAUAAAGUAUAGCAUCUAUCCCUCCAAAUAAGUGCCCGGAGCAAGUACAGUAUGCAGAAAAGAAUUUAGCAUAGAAUUAUCAGAAAUAUGUUUAUAGAAAGUAAUUUAAAAUAAUUCACUGGAAAGAUAAAAGUGGUCUUAACUACCCAAAUUACUCAAGAUUUUUGCUGCUGUGCCAGCAAUUGAGUGUGUGCUGUGUUUGGCCCUGACUUUUUUAUGGUCACACUCAGAUAUGCUGUAUGAAACACAUGCCUGAAAUGAGACGAACACCAUCUGUUUCUUCUUUUGAACCAGAUUAUCACUGUCGUCAUCCUCUGUUGUCCUGGUUUUUUUCAGUUCUCCCCGUUACCUGUGGUGUUUCUGAGUCAGAGUAUCUUGCUCUUUCUUGGGCUUCUAGUUGAUUUCUGAUCGACACUAGCCACAUAAAGGAUUCUGCAGGAUUGCAAAGUAAACCAUUCACAAAUCUUUAUCACCCUUGCUGAUAAAUUAAACAGUGCCUUUCCAUGAGUGGUAUGUGAUUUGGGCAGGGGAGGUGGCAAGAAUUGUUAACUAUACCCUUUCAGUCUCCUCCCACCCCGCCCCAUGCCUGCCUUGGAACAGCACUUAAUGCAACACCCAGGCAAGCAUAAACUGGAGCCUCGGCUUGAGAAAGUGAACGGGGUUAAAUAAUACUUACUUGUCUCCCUCCAUCUUCAGCUCUGAAGGUGGCUGUUAGAGAUGGAAACACAGUCGGCUGCUAUAUGCUUGUAAGCAGGCCCUGUGUCCAGCUGAAGAUGGAGUUUGGGGAGCUGGCAAGGUAGCCCAGUGGGUAAAGGCACUUGUCACCAAACCUGACACAUGCACACAAUAAACCAAUGUUCUUGUUUUAAAAGUGGAGCUUGGACUCGUUCUCUGGUGGAAGUAGGCCAUUUGGACUCAUGCCAUCUUUGAUGUCUACAUGACUAAGUAGGGACCAUACAAAGCCAUAGGAAAAAAAAAUCCAUGAGAGUGUCAAGCCUGAUACGUUCAACCAAGUACAACAGCCAGCUAGGGGUGGUGGCAUGGGGACAGCAAGAGUAGGAGGGUAGGAAACAAGAGUGUCAGAAGUCCCUGUUUUUAUCAUUUUUCUCAUUGAGUGAACUACUGGUAUUUAUACAAUUGACAGGCAUCUCUAAUGGGCUGGCAUUGCAUGUUCAGGAAGAUUUCUUACUAUCACACGUGAACUUGUGUUACUCAAGGCACCUUCAUUUACUUCGUUUUAGUCCUCAGCAUACUGCUUUGUAGCAGGCAGUGUGUUCUCAUGGUCUUCAUUGCACCCCCAGACUGUCAGUCUGGCUCAAAGCCAAAUCAAUGGGGCCCUCAAC